This 217-nucleotide ribosomal RNA is filed under the name Glomeraceae sp. Its description in RNAcentral is "partial small subunit ribosomal RNA". The stretch from base 37 to 217 matches the Rfam family "Eukaryotic small subunit ribosomal RNA", at positions 684 to 866 of the family's 1831-position model. The record is from RNAcentral. Lineage: Eukaryota; Fungi; Glomeromycota; Glomeromycetes; Glomerales; Glomeraceae.
AGAUCAAAUUGUUGGUCGUGCCUUGGUACGUACUGAUAUUAUUGAUUUCUCCCUUCUGAAGAACCAUGAUGUCAUUAAUUUGGUGUCAUGGGGAAUCAGGACUGUUACUUUGAAAAAAUUAGAGUGUUUAAAGCAGGCUCGCGCUUGAAUACAUUAGCAUGGAAUAAUGAAAUAGGACGUUCGAUCUUAUUUUGUUGGUUUCUAAGAUUGACGUAAU